AUUUAAUAAUAAGAAGAAACAACAAAAGAAAAAAAUACACAAACAUAUCCACAGCACCAUUUCCUGAGAUGUUAGCAAUGUGAGGUUUAGUGGUAAGGUCUCAGACUCUGUCA
Molecule: long non-coding RNA, 113 nt
Organism: Pipistrellus kuhlii (Kuhl's pipistrelle)
Lineage: Eukaryota; Metazoa; Chordata; Mammalia; Chiroptera; Vespertilionidae
Exons: 4
Source: RefSeq, a predicted model, not a curated record